Diabrotica virgifera virgifera (western corn rootworm) is the source of this 495-nucleotide long non-coding RNA. RefSeq lists it as uncharacterized. The transcript has 3 exons. The record is from RefSeq and is a predicted model, not a curated record. NCBI's taxonomy places the organism in Eukaryota, Metazoa, Arthropoda, Insecta, Coleoptera, Chrysomelidae.
GCAAAAAUUAAAUUCGCAUUAUUGUAAUAAUUUUAUAACUCGUAAUCAAAAUUAAGAAAUCUAGGUAGGGGAAUUUGGGGCAAAGUGAACCGACUAUCUUUUUAAAUUUUAAAUUAUUCGCGCCAGUAAUACAGUUUUAAGCGUAAAUUUAAUAUAUUUAAGUUGGUAACAGUGUGUUUACGACGAGAACACGUUUGACGAAAGCUGCUAAGUUGUGGAUGAAAUUUUUAUUUUAUCGUGGUAAAAUUCUAAUCUGAGCUGAUAGGAAUAUGAACACAAUCGGAAUAUGAAGCUAGCAGGUUUAAUGUAAAUCAGUGGCAUCGGAUCCACGAGGACGUGGAUAAGGGAAGCGUGGCCGACUGUAAAGAAUAUUUUCUACGCCGGCCCUGACGGAUGACUAAAAGAAAUGGAUGUUCUGACAAACAGCAUAGAUGCCCGAAUAUGGAUAAUGAAGUAUUUAAUAAGUCAGUCGAUUAUAGUAUUUCGUGAUAGAAA